RNAcentral lists this ribosomal RNA (497 nucleotides) under uncultured bacterium. RNAcentral describes it as "partial 16S ribosomal RNA". It matches the Rfam family "Bacterial small subunit ribosomal RNA", at positions 28 to 507 of the family's 1533-position model. The record is from RNAcentral.
GAUGAACGCUGGCGGCGUGCCUAAUACAUGCAAGUCGAGCGAACAGACGAGGAGCUUGCUCCUCUGACGUUAGCGGCGGACGGGUGAGUAACACGUGGAUAACCUACCUAUAAGACUGGGAUAACUUCGGGAAACCGGAGCUAAUACCGGAUAAUAUAUUGAACCGCAUGGUUCAAUAGUGAAAGACGGUUUUGCUGUCACUUAUAGAUGGAUCCGCGCCGCAUUAGCUAGUUGGUAAGGUAACGGCUUACCAAGGCAACGAUGCGUAGCCGACCUGAGAGGGUGAUCGGCCACCCUGGAACUGAGACACGGUCCAGACUCCUACGGGAGGCAGCAGUAGGGAAUCUUCCGCAAGGGGCGAAAGCCUGACGGAGCAACGCCGCGUGAGUGAUGAAGGUCUUCGGAUCGUAAAACUCUGUUAUUAGGGAAGAACAAAUGUGUAAGUAACUAUGCACGUCUUGACGGUACCUAAUCAGAAAGCCACGGCUAACUACGUG